Molecule: non-coding RNA, 28 nt
Filed under: Rattus norvegicus (Norway rat)
Lineage: Eukaryota; Metazoa; Chordata; Mammalia; Rodentia; Muridae
Source: RNAcentral
UNCUUACAAAGCGAGGCUACACAGGUCC